CAGCAGCCGCGGGAAUACAGAGGGUGCGAGCGUUACUCGGAAUUACUGGGCGUAAAGCGUGCGUAGGUGGUGGUUUAAGUCCGUUGUGAAAGCCCUGGGCUCAACCUGGGAAUUGCAGUGGAUACUGGGUCACUAGAGUGUGGUAGAGGAUAGUGGAAUUUCCGGUGUAGCAGUGAAAUGCGUAGAGAUCGGAAGGAACAUCUGUGGCGAAGGCGACUAUCUGGGCCAACACUGACACUGAGGCACGAAAGCGUGGGGAGCAAACAGGAUUAGAUACCCCGGUAGUCCCUGUCUCUUAUAC
This 301-nucleotide ribosomal RNA is filed under the name uncultured bacterium. RNAcentral's name for it is "partial 16S ribosomal RNA". It matches the Rfam family "Bacterial small subunit ribosomal RNA", at positions 509 to 807 of the family's 1533-position model. The record is from RNAcentral.